AUGAAAACUGAUUUGACUGCUGCUUCCUUGUUGGGUUCUUGCACAGCUUUGAGCAACAUUUUGUUGUGAUCUUUGGAGAUCACGUUCAAAAGGCCAAUGCAGUUCGUACGGCAAAAUAUCACAUUUAACACAGGGAAACACCCAAUUGGCUGUAAUAACCCAACUGCUACCUUUUUUAUCCCUAAGCUGUGAAUGCGUUUAAGAUUUACAGACAUUUGCUUCACAAGGGAUUCCAUGAAGCCUGGGAGGUGAUAACGACAAGCGCAGAGAGACACUUGACAAGGAAGAUAAAUUAAAAAAGGGAAAAUUGAAUGAGAAAAGAGAUGUCAAUUGGUUGUGCUUGUGCGUGAGCUGAUGAAAGUUGUGUUCAUUAACAGAUAUAUGAUUUUACUAGAGAUUGGAUGGCUGAUAGUAGCACACAAAUGGUGGAAGUGGCACCUGAGAUGACAUAUAGAAUCCAUAAACUUCUCAGCUUCAAACUGUCUGUAUCAUCGGAGGUCACGUUGGAGCAUGAUGCCGGUGAGGUAAUCAACCACUUCUCUUCCAAUCUCUUCAGCUCUGCUUUUUCUGAGAGAUGUAAUAUAGCUUUUGACACGUCUCUGGCCACUGGCGAGCCUUUCUGGAACAUCUGCAUUAGAUUAUUUGAAAAUUCUGUCAUAACUUAAUGAGUAAUACUAAACUCCAUAAACAUUUUGUAUUCAUCCAUCCGAGUAAGUAUGUAAAACUGUGUCAACAAAAUCUAUAGCAAAAUUGUCUGAUUCCCUAACAUUGUAUUUGUUGAGAUUGAAAAUCAUAGCCCAAACAUAAAAGAAAAAUUGCACAAACACACAACUGCAUAUGCACGCACGCGCACAUACUAUGGAUUUAAAUUUGUUUAACGUAUUACCAAAGCUUCUAGAUAUAUCUAAUGAUGGGUGAAAUAGAAUGAUAUGUUAUGAUUCACCAAAAUAAAAAGAAUGAUAUUUUAUGAUGGAACUUCCAUACCAUAUGUUAUGAUAUUUUCUCUUUU
Molecule: long non-coding RNA, 1009 nt
Organism: Glycine soja
Lineage: Eukaryota; Viridiplantae; Streptophyta; Magnoliopsida; Fabales; Fabaceae
Exons: 4
Source: RefSeq, a predicted model, not a curated record